This 213-nucleotide long non-coding RNA is filed under the name Elaeis guineensis (African oil palm). RNAcentral's name for it is "long non-coding RNA (EGUI_LNC043637)". Lineage: Eukaryota; Viridiplantae; Streptophyta; Magnoliopsida; Arecales; Arecaceae. The record is from RNAcentral.
UAGGGGUUGAGAUUCAUCUCGACUGACUGUGGGGCUUUUCGGACUGUACACAUCGGAGUCCUCCUUGACUGGGGGCUCUGUUAUAGUUUUAAUUAUGUGGAGGGUACGGAUAGUCUCACAUCGGUUAUGAUUCAAAGGAGACUCGCGCUUAUAAGGAGGAAAAAAUUCUUUUCACAUGGGACAUCUUUUAAAGAGUAAAACCGUGAGGCACAU